RNAcentral lists this ribosomal RNA (253 nucleotides) under uncultured bacterium. Its description in RNAcentral is "partial 16S ribosomal RNA". It matches the Rfam family "Bacterial small subunit ribosomal RNA", at positions 524 to 776 of the family's 1533-position model. The record is from RNAcentral.
UACGUAGGUGGCAAGCGUUGUCCGGAAUUAUUGGGCGUAAAGCGCGCGCAGGUGGUUCUUUAAGUCUGAUGUGAAAGCCCACGGCUCAACCGUGGAGGGUCAUUGGAAACUGGGGAACUUGAGUGCAGAAGAGGAAGGUGGAAUUCCAAGUGUAGCGGUGAAAUGCGUAGAGAUUUGGAGGAACACCAGUGGCGAAGGCGACUUUCUGGUCUGUAACUGACACUGAGGCGCGAAAGCGUGGGGAGCAAACAGG